UACGUAGGGUGCAAGCGUUAGUCGGAAUUACUGGGCGUAAAGCGUGCGCAGGCGGUUCGCUAAGACAGAUGUGAAAUCCCCGGGCUUAACCUGGGAACUGCAUUUGUGACUGGCGGGCUAGAGUAUGGCAGAGGGGGGUAGAAUUCCACGUGUAGCAGUGAAAUGCGUAGAGAUGUGGAGGAAUACCGAUGGCGAAGGCAGCCCCCUGGGCCAAUACUGACGCUCAUGCACGAAAGCGUGGGGAGCAAACAGG
Molecule: ribosomal RNA, 253 nt
Filed under: uncultured bacterium
Lineage: Bacteria
Description: partial 16S ribosomal RNA
Rfam family: Bacterial small subunit ribosomal RNA
Source: RNAcentral